UACGUAGGGGGCAAGCGUUGUCCGGAUUUAUUGGGCGUAAAGAGCGUGUAGGCGGCUUGGAAGGUCAGCUGUGAAAACUCGAGGCUCAACCUCGAGACGUCGGUUGAAACCACCUGGCUAGAGUCCGGAAGAGGAGAGUGGAAUUCCUGGUGUAGCGGUGAAAUGCGCAGAUAUCAGGAGGAACACCUAUUGCGAAGGCAGCUCGCUGGGACGUAACUGACGCUGAGACGCGAAAGCGUGGGGAGCAAACAGG
RNAcentral lists this ribosomal RNA (253 nucleotides) under uncultured bacterium. RNAcentral describes it as "partial 16S ribosomal RNA". It matches the Rfam family "Bacterial small subunit ribosomal RNA", at positions 524 to 776 of the family's 1533-position model. The record is from RNAcentral.